RNAcentral lists this ribosomal RNA (561 nucleotides) under Enterococcus gallinarum. RNAcentral's name for it is "bacterial SSU rRNA". It matches the Rfam family "Bacterial small subunit ribosomal RNA", at positions 70 to 611 of the family's 1533-position model. Lineage: Bacteria; Bacillati; Bacillota; Bacilli; Lactobacillales; Enterococcaceae. The record is from RNAcentral.
UCACCGGAGCUUGCUCCACCGAAAGAAAAAGAGUGGCGAACGGGUGAGUAACACGUGGGUAACCUGCCCAUCAGAAGGGGAUAACACUUGGAAACAGGUGCUAAUACCGUAUAACACUAUUUUCCGCAUGGAAGAAAGUUGAAAGGCGCUUUUGCGUCACUGAUGGAUGGACCCGCGGUGCAUUAGCUAGUUGGUGAGGUAACGGCUCACCAAGGCCACGAUGCAUAGCCGACCUGAGAGGGUGAUCGGCCACACUGGGACUGAGACACGGCCCAGACUCCUACGGGAGGCAGCAGUAGGGAAUCUUCGGCAAUGGACGAAAGUCUGACCGAGCAACGCCGCGUGAGUGAAGAAGGUUUUCGGAUCGUAAAACUCUGUUGUUAGAGAAGAACAAGGAUGAGAGUAGAACGUUCAUCCCUUGACGGUAUCUAACCAGAAAGCCACGGCUAACUACGUGCCAGCAGCCGCGGUAAUACGUAGGUGGCAAGCGUUGUCCGGAUUUAUUGGGCGUAAAGCGAGCGCAGGCGGUUUCUUAAGUCUGAUGUGAAAGCCCCCGGCUCA